Molecule: non-coding RNA, 77 nt
Organism: Podarcis lilfordi (Lilford's wall lizard)
Lineage: Eukaryota; Metazoa; Chordata; Lepidosauria; Squamata; Lacertidae
Source: the annotation of a GenBank genome assembly
ACUCAACAUGGUAGCUCAGUCGGUAGAACACGAGACUUUUAAUCUCAAGGUCAUGGGUUUGAGCCUCACGUUGGGCA